AAGACUAUGCUUUCAGGGAUCAUUUCUAUAGUUCGUUACUCGGGAAGUUUCUCUGAACGUGUAAAGCACCGAACAAA
Molecule: small nucleolar RNA, 77 nt
Filed under: Homo sapiens (human)
Lineage: Eukaryota; Metazoa; Chordata; Mammalia; Primates; Hominidae
Description: Small nucleolar RNA U3
Rfam family: Small nucleolar RNA U3
About the family: Small nucleolar RNAs (snoRNAs) are involved in the processing and modification of rRNA in the nucleolus. There are two main classes of snoRNAs: the box C/D class, and the box H/ACA class. U3 snoRNA is a member of the box C/D class.
Source: RNAcentral